AAAUGAUCAAUAAAUGGUACUUAACUGUUAAAAAAAAAAAGAUAAUUAUAUUUGAGUUUGUAUGUGUGUUAAUUUGUAUACAAAUAUUGAAGAGGUGUGUGCCAAAAAUUUAUCAGGGGUUAUUUAUGUACACCAGGAUUUGUUUUCUUUAUAUAUUACUGUGCUUGUAGAUGUUUUAUAAUAUAUGUUAAAUGAGAGUAUAUUAUUAUUUGAACUAUAGAAUCAGAUAAAUUUUUUUGAGUUAGUGAAAGAGACAUAUAAUUAAAUGGGCCAAAGUUUUAUGACUCGGUCAUCAGAAAGGUUAGAUAAUCUUCCUCUUUGUUGUUAAAAAAUUUCAAGCUAAUUUUAAUACAUGUAUUUUUAUUGCUGACUAGUCUUGGAUAUACACUAGUUUGAUGAUUGAUUUGCCUUUCUCAAAACAUUUGAAACAUAUGAUGUUGACUGUUUUAAAUACUACUUUCUAUCUCUCUAAUCAUUUUUUGUCCAGUUUUUUAGUUCAGUCUGAAACAUGUUACUUUUGAUGCUUUUUUAGUGAACUCUGUCCCCUUGUGGAUUACAGUUCACUUUUAUUAAAAAUUGAAUAGAUUGAAAUAUUUCUUAUAAAAUAUAAAGAAUAAUAUGACAGGUACUCAUGUACCACCACCUACUGUGUAUUCAUUCCUUUGUUUCAGUUGUGAUUUAAAAAUUAGAUUUGACUAAAGCGUUUACCAUACCUGAGCAUCCAUAGUAUGUGCCCUACCCCCUGUUCUUAUGGUUUAUGUUAGAAAUUUUAAUUUGAUUGUCUUCUUUAGAAAAUGUACUUUAAUCCCAGAUGCCCCGAAGUGGUUUUGCAAGCAGGUUGAAAAUUCAAGCAUUAGUAUUUUACCAGUGUAGUGAACUUAUGUUAAAAUUAUUUUAGAUUUUGUUAAACAUAUUUUUUUCUUGACAAAGUGGUCUCAUUUACUGAUGUUGGUUUGUAAUUAAUGGUACUAUCAUCAACCAUUUCUAGGCCUUUGUUAAAGGAUGUCAGCUUUAACAAACACCAGACCUAAUGUAACCCUAUACUUUGGCAAAUUUAAGCUACUCCUGCUUAGAAUAAAUUAGAGAGAUUGAAAUAAGUAGUUGCUUUUUCUGUUAUGCAAGUGUCUGCAAGAUGUAUUGAGCAGUUCCAGUUCUGCCAUAGUGAGCUAGUGUUUUGUGAUUUAUUCCACCUCUCUGGCCUUAAUAUUCUUAUCUGUGGCAGGAAUAGUUGGAUCAGAGGACUUUUAAGUUUUGUUUAACUUCAUAAAUGACUUAAUAUCUUUUCUGCCAUGAACAGAGAAAGGAAACAGGUUCUCUGUAGAAAGAUUGAAAAGAUUAACUAAAGCAUUUUUUAGAAUGAACUUCAACAGUCAAUAAUAGAUGACAUAUGCUUGAAAAGGUGACUGGUGAAAGCAAGGGGAAAAAGGCAUUGAGAAGAGAUUUUAAUGGCAAUCUAAGAUUGAGUUAAUAAUACAGGCAAAAGUAUAAAUUGGUUAGAAUUAAUAAUAUGAAUGAAUAUUCGUGGAUGGUUUGCUGUGUUACCAGGUACAGAACUAUCUUAGGCAUUUUUAAAUUUUUUUUGUAUUUUCAGAAUUAGUGGUUGCUUAGUGUUGUUGAAGAUCUGCUCUUUUAGAAGAGUGAAGUCCGCAGGUUUGAAGUCCAAUAGAACACAGCCGGAGUCUCCCAGAGUGUGUUUGAGGUCCAAUAGAACACAGCCGGAGUCUCCCAGAGUGUGUUUUGCUUUGGAGUAACAUAAGCAUUUGAAAACUACUGAACGCUUUGAGGUUACUAUCAGGAGAGUGUUAGUGAAUAACUGCCGCAGUACACUGAGUGCUUCUGUAAUGACCGGUAUUUUUAAAUCUUUAAGGUUGUCAGACAAGGGAUUUACUGAAUGAUAUCCCUGCCCCCAAAAGCUGAGUUCUAAAGGCUUCUUGUCUGUUGAAAGGCCCUAACUCAGUGGUUAGUAUUUGUUUUUCUCUUCUAGCGUUCUAGUUAUGAUUCAAGAGUGAGAGGUUUUUUUUUCCCUAAUUCUGUAUAACCC
Equus caballus (horse) is the source of this 2041-nucleotide non-coding RNA. Lineage: Eukaryota; Metazoa; Chordata; Mammalia; Perissodactyla; Equidae. The record is from RefSeq and is a predicted model, not a curated record.